AAGUCGUAACAAGGUAACCGUAGGUGAACCUGCGGUUGGAUCAUUAAUGAAAAAAGGCUUCCGCGAAAAAACUGGAGCGGGCAGACACUCGAUCCCGUCGAGACCAUCGAUUGUGGGGAGAGGCAGUUGGCCAGCUCUGUUUUGAAGCGUGAAAACUCACCUUUUGUGAACCGUACAUAUUUUCCACGUCGUAUUUUCAAAAGUCUAAAGUAAAAGUUGAUCUUAUUCAUUUCACGAAUAUGAAAAAACAACUUUUGUCAACGGAUCUCUUGGCUCUC
This 278-nucleotide unclassified non-coding RNA is filed under the name fungal sp. RNAcentral's name for it is "partial internal transcribed spacer region". The stretch from base 1 to 46 matches the Rfam family "Eukaryotic small subunit ribosomal RNA", at positions 1786 to 1831 of the family's 1831-position model. Lineage: Eukaryota; Fungi. The record is from RNAcentral.